GAAACUAACCAGGAUUCCCCCAGUAACGGCGAGUGAAGGGGGAUUAGCCCAGCAUCGAAGCCUGCGCCCGAUUGGGUGCAAGGCAAUGUGAUGUUUCGGUGUAUGCCUAGGGUCACCGGUCAACUCGAAGUCCAAUAUUGAAUGUGGCUUAUUUAUUUGGCCCACAGCGGGUGAAAGGCCCGUGCGAGUUGGCUGUUAGUCAUGUUAUGGUGGCCUCUAGAUGCAUGCGCUGUGGAGUCGGAUUGCUUGAGAAUGCAGUCCAAAGUUGGUGGUAAACUCCAUCAAAGGCUAAAUACUGGCACGAGUCCGAUAGCAAACAAGUACCGUGAGGGAAAGUUGAAAAGUACUCUGAAGAGAGAGUAACCAGUCCGUGAAACCACAUACAGGUAAACUGGUGGAGUCCAGCUGCGUGUUCUGGAGACAUAGCUGGCGUGCUAUGGCCGCGCAUGGUUUGCCGUUAAAGGCAAGUUGGGUCUGCGCCUGAUUCGUGUUGCGUUGUACGCGACGCGAGCCGUGCAGUGCGCGUUUUGCAUGCAAGUGUCUCUCUUCAGAACUGGCAUCACAGUCAAUGUUACUGCUAGUGUGUGAUGGUCAAAGCGUCGAAUGGUGGGCCUCGAAGCUCACCUUCUGCGUGGAUGGCAGGUGGUUCAUUUGUUUGCCUUGUGUAAAUGAGUGGGCUUAAAUUUGGUUGUGGCCGGCCGACUAUCAUGCAGGUUUAUUUAUGCAUUUCACCAUGCAGUACAUUGGGGACGCGUAGCGUUGCUUAACCAUUUGAAUGUCCUGCUGGCCCGCGUCCGGUUAUGUGUAAAAGCGUGCCGAAUGUGUGGCUUAGUUAUGGGUGUUAAGAUGGUGCAGCCGCGUCGUUGCAUAAACUGUGGUGUUGUGGUA
Molecule: ribosomal RNA, 888 nt
Filed under: Monocotyle corali
Lineage: Eukaryota; Metazoa; Platyhelminthes; Monogenea; Monocotylidea; Monocotylidae
Description: eukaryotic LSU rRNA
Rfam family: Eukaryotic large subunit ribosomal RNA
Source: RNAcentral